Molecule: ribosomal RNA, 460 nt
Filed under: uncultured bacterium
Lineage: Bacteria
Description: partial 16S ribosomal RNA
Rfam family: Bacterial small subunit ribosomal RNA
Source: RNAcentral
CCUACGGGUGGCUGCAGUGAGGAAUAUUGGUCAAUGGACGCAAGUCUGAACCAGCCAUGCCGCGUGCAGGAAGACGGCUCUAUGAGUUGUAGACUGCUUUUUUACGAGGGUAAACGCAGAUACGCGUAUCUUUCUGAAAGUAUCGUAAGAAUAAGGAUCGGCUAACUCCGUGCCAGCAGCCGCGGUAAUACGGAGGAUUCAAGCGUUAUCCGGAUUUAUUGGGUUUAAAGGGUGCGUAGGCGGUCGGAUAAGUUAGAGGUGAAAUCCCGGGGCUCAACUUCGGAAUUGCCUCUGAUACUGGUCGGCUUGAGAGUAGUUGAGGCAGGCGGAAUGUAUGGUGUAGCGGUGAAAUGCUUAGAGAUCAUACAGAACACCGAUUGCGAAGGCAGCUUACCAAGCUACUUCUGACGUUGAGGCACGAAAGCGUGGGGAGCAAACAGGAUUAGAUACCCCAGUAGUC